This 253-nucleotide ribosomal RNA is filed under the name uncultured bacterium. Its description in RNAcentral is "partial 16S ribosomal RNA". It matches the Rfam family "Bacterial small subunit ribosomal RNA", at positions 524 to 776 of the family's 1533-position model. The record is from RNAcentral.
GACAGAGGGUGCAAACGUUGUUCGGAAUUACUGGGCGUAAAGCGUGUGUAGGCGGCCAUGUAAGUCGGAUGUGAAAGCCCCGGGCUUAACCCGGGAAGUGCAUUCGAUACUGCGUGGCUUGAGUAUCGGAGAGGUUGGUGGAAUUCUCGGUGUAGAGGUGAAAUUCGUAGAUAUCGAGAGGAACACCGGUGGCGAAGGCGGCCAACUGGACGAAUACUGACGCUGAGACGCGAAAGCGUGGGGAGCGAACAGG